UACAGAGGGUGCGAGCGUUAAUCGGAAUUACUGGGCGUAAAGCGUGCGUAGACGGUUAUUUAAGUCGGGUGUGAAAGCCCCGGGCUCAACCUGGGAAUUGCAUUCGAGACUGAAUAGCUAGGGUACGGUAGAGGGAAGUGGAAUUUCCGGUGUAGCGGUGAAAUGCGUAGAUAUCGGAAGGAACAUCUGUGGCGAAAGCGACUUCCUGGACCAGUACCGACGUUCAGGCACGAAAGCGUGGGGAGCAAACAGG
RNAcentral lists this ribosomal RNA (253 nucleotides) under uncultured bacterium. Its description in RNAcentral is "partial 16S ribosomal RNA". It matches the Rfam family "Bacterial small subunit ribosomal RNA", at positions 524 to 776 of the family's 1533-position model. The record is from RNAcentral.